UUCAGGGACACCUUCCUCAGGAGACGAGCGGUCAUAAAGCUUAACAAAGUCAAGUUGUGAGAAUGAAAUCGAAUAAGCUGGCAGCCUUUUUCCUCUUAACGUUAUCACUGAUCUUGCUGAUGUCCAGCAGUGAAGGGUUCACAGGAACAGUUCCAGGUAAAAGGGAUUCCUACAGAAUGGAGAUUCCACAGAACUACCGGCGGAGUUUGUGCGCAGCAGCACGUAACCUGGACUGCAAGCGAGUGCUGGACCCCGACUCUGAGAAUUGAUGAAAAGAAGGAUUCUUCGAAAGCCUCUCUUGGAUCUAAGUCGUUGCACAGUUCUUUAAGAAGAUUAGAAACUAAAUGAAUGAGUAGUGAAAGAAUAAAACAUGUUAAACAUUUA
Long non-coding RNA from Orbicella faveolata, 384 nucleotides. RefSeq lists it as uncharacterized. The record is from RefSeq and is a predicted model, not a curated record. NCBI's taxonomy places the organism in Eukaryota, Metazoa, Cnidaria, Anthozoa, Scleractinia, Merulinidae.